CCUACGGGUGGCAGCAGUGAGGAAUAUUGGUCAAUGGGCGGGAGCCUGAACCAGCCAAGUCGCGUGAGGGAAGAUGGUCCUACGGAUUGUAAACCUCUUUUGCCGGGGAGCAACGGGGUCCUUGCGAGGGCCCAAUGAGAGUACCCGGAGAAAAAGCAUCGGCUAACUCCGUGCCAGCAGCCGCGGUAAUACGGAGGAUCCGAGCGUUAUCCGGAUUUAUUGGGUUUAAAGGGAGCGUAGGUGGAUUGUUAAGUCAGUUGUGAAAGUUUGCGGCUCAACCGUAAAAUUGCAGUUGAAACUGGCAGUCUUGAGUACAGUAGAGGUGGGCGGAAUUCGUGGUGUAGCGGUGGAAUGCUUAGAUAUCACGAAGAACUCCGAUUGCGAAGGCAGUUCACUGGACUGCAACUGACACUGAGGCUCGAAAGUGUGGGUAUCAAACAGGAUUAGAUACCCGAGUAGUC
Molecule: ribosomal RNA, 461 nt
Filed under: uncultured bacterium
Lineage: Bacteria
Description: partial 16S ribosomal RNA
Rfam family: Bacterial small subunit ribosomal RNA
Source: RNAcentral